RNAcentral lists this ribosomal RNA (107 nucleotides) under uncultured eukaryote. Its description in RNAcentral is "partial 18S ribosomal RNA". The record is from RNAcentral.
UCGUGGAGUGAUCUGUCUGGUUGAUUCCGUUAACCAGCCGAGAUAUAGCCUUCGUACUCAGAGGGAUUACGCAUGUUGCCAAUGCGUUGAGAACCGAGCCAAUAGCA